RNAcentral lists this non-coding RNA (85 nucleotides) under Megamonas hypermegale. RNAcentral's name for it is "TPP riboswitch (THI element)". It matches the Rfam family "TPP riboswitch aptamer (THI element)", at positions 6 to 96 of the family's 105-position model. Rfam says of the family: Vitamin B(1) in its active form thiamin pyrophosphate (TPP) is an essential coenzyme that is synthesised by coupling of pyrimidine and thiazole moieties in bacteria. The previously detected thiamin-regulatory element, thi box was extended, resulting in a new, highly conserved RNA secondary structure, the THI element, which is widely distributed in eubacteria and also occurs in some archaea. Lineage: Bacteria; Bacillati; Bacillota; Negativicutes; Selenomonadales; Selenomonadaceae. The record is from RNAcentral.
AACCACUAGGGGAACCGCAAGGUUGAGAAGUUAAAACUGACCCUUAGAACCUGAUAUGGCUAAUACCAGCGUAGGGAAGUGGCAA